UACGGACUGUGCAAACGUUAUUCGGAAUCACUGGGCUUAAAGAGUCCGUAGGCGGCAUGUUAGGUGAGGUGUGAAAUCCCCCGGCUCAACCGAGGAAUUGCGCUUCAAACCGGCGUGCUUGAGGAAGAUAGAGGUGGGCGGAACUGAUGGUGGAGCGGUGAAAUGCGUUGAUAUCAUCAGGAACACCGGAGGCGAAAGCGGCCCACUGGGUCUUUUCUGACGCUGAGGGACGAAAGCUAGGGGAGCGAACGGG
This 253-nucleotide ribosomal RNA is filed under the name uncultured bacterium. RNAcentral's name for it is "partial 16S ribosomal RNA". It matches the Rfam family "Bacterial small subunit ribosomal RNA", at positions 524 to 776 of the family's 1533-position model. The record is from RNAcentral.